This 1633-nucleotide long non-coding RNA is filed under the name Coturnix japonica (Japanese quail). RNAcentral describes it as "lncRNA (ENSCJPG00005010957.1)". The record is from RNAcentral. Lineage: Eukaryota; Metazoa; Chordata; Aves; Galliformes; Phasianidae.
AUGCCUUUUAUCUGGUUGUCACAUGCAUGCUUAAUGUGAACAACAGCAAGAAGAAUAGCAGAAGAAUAAAGGCCUUUGAUAGGGAUUUAUGAAGGUCACAUGUCUUAAUUUUGCAGGGGUGAAAGUGUGCAUUCAGAGAACCCAUUGGAAAGUGUGCUUGGCAAGCAUUCAUCAGCCUAGAGACUUGGAUGAAAUACGGCAAAUAAAGAGAGAAGAGGCAUUUCCUGGGGGGAGACAAGAAGGGGCUGGACGCACUGAAUGGUAUCAUCUUUCCAGGAUCAGAGGAUUCAAAGCAAAAUGAGCUCCUUCCCAGCAUCUCAGGAUCCUCAAAGCAAAGCUAUGAUUUUCUUAUUCUCUACCAAGUGAAGGACUGCAGCACACACAUAUCCUUACAGCAAAGAAUGCCCUAUUGAAGGCUGCUUGGCACCAGCCUUAAAGCAAUUUAGCAAUCUGUCAUCUUAAACCAUCUAAUGACAACUCUUCAAGCAAUUGGAAAAUUGUGGCCUUCAGCAGACUCUCCAGCUGAGCAGGAGCCGGUGUGUGUCUCCUCUGCUUUCAGCAGGGCUUGGCAUUCCCAAUGAAAGUCAGGCUGCUCUCCAUGCGCUUGGCAUGGCAUUCAUGCAGAGGCAGGAUGCAAAGGGUGGGCUGAAGACUCUCCAAGGUUAUGUCUAUACUAUUAAAUAGCACGGGCCAAGGUUUACUCCUUGGCACAGGCAGCAGCUGGCAGAGCUUGCAUGCUGAUGUUUAAUCCUCCUCCUCUUCAGGGCAGGGUGCCUGUGUCCAUAUCUCCCUCUAGGGACAAUUUUUUGACUCAAACAUCAGCCUGAACUUGGGCUUGAAUCAAUUUCAAUGGCCAGAGACCAUGCUCCCAGUGGCCCGGCCUGGCUGAUUGCAAGACACACUGGGCAUGCAUCCCAGUUUGUAGAAUUUGCUGACUUUUGAGUAUUCCUAUGUUAACUAUUAUUUCUGCAGCUUGGGUGCCCACUUCUUGGGCAAAGUGAUUGUGGAUUAACACCUAUUGAUAUCUGCUGUACAAGGAUCCACCUGGGAUGUAGAGGAUAUAUGAAUACAUAGGAGGGAUCCAUUUAACUCCAUCACUGCUUUGCCAUCUAAUGAGGUGAAAAAAGGAAGAAAAAGUUCUGACAUACUCCAUGAUACUGUUGGGGAAAUGAGACCUGGAGCAACCCAGCAACUCCUGGGAGAGCUCUGAAGAGGCUGACCAUGAGGAACUGCAGUUAUACUUUGAUAAGAGCUCUGUCUGGGGAGAGAUGGAGCAGACAAAGCUGAACUUGUCUCACCUCUAAUGAAGCUGUCAAUGAAGCAGCGAAGUACACUCACUUUGCAAAAGCAGACUAAAUCUGGCUGAAGAGAUUAUGUUUUUUGACACACUGAAACCUGACUGGGAAGCUGACAACUUUUUUGCCCGAGGAGAGAAAAAAAAACAGAUAUGAGACACAGUGUAUUUUGUAUAAGUACAGGGCAGUGUGGAGGUUAUGGGAAGAGAUAGGUAGUGUAGGGGUGAGGUUGUACCCCAUGGCCAUAAGCAAGGUGUCUUCUCUUACUCAGCUGACCCACCAUGCCCUGUCAAACUGCGCCCUUGGGCAGAUCUCAAUAAAACCCUUCCUGCAGCACA